GCUGAAUCCGAAUACUCAUACUUAUAGUAUGCAUUUUGUAGUACGCCACAAAUAUAGCGCGUCCGAAUGCUCAGUGUGCAUUGUGUAGUACGGAAAACGUUUCCGAAUGCGUACUACCGCCACAGUAUACAACGGUAGGUCACUACGUUACCAGACGAGUCUGGUAACGGACGAAGAAGAGAUGGCUGACCCGACACUACCAACAGCGGCUUAGAAAGACGUCAUAGAAAGCGGCGAAAAAAAGACAUUAAAAAGAGUAAAAAAGUAAAGUAAGUAAUUAAGUAAAGAGAGACAUUUUUAAUUUAAUAGCAACGAUGACAAGACAGAAAACAGGUAACUUAUCAAGGUAAUUUUGCCGGCAUCUGAGGGGAGACACGUCAUCUCCAAACAUCCGGUGGAGUUAGGCGGUGUUCGGAAGAGUUCAGAGGCGUUCUACGCAUAGCUGUAGACCGUUCUAGGCGUUCUACGCAUAGCUGUAGACCACACUGAACAUAAAUAGUAUGUACUAAGUAUUCGGAUUCAGCCCAGGUAUUACUGAAGGCAUUUAAUGGUCAAAAUAUUAUUAAUAAAUAUUCGAAUAUAUUCGAAUACUAAUAUUAAUAAACAAACGAACUUCGAAUAU
Molecule: long non-coding RNA, 622 nt
Organism: Gadus macrocephalus (Pacific cod)
Lineage: Eukaryota; Metazoa; Chordata; Actinopteri; Gadiformes; Gadidae
Exons: 2
Source: RefSeq, a predicted model, not a curated record